UAAAUAAUAAUAUAAAACAAUGUGAAUUGUUAUGUGUUCAUAGUGUUGUAAAUAUUAUAAAAAAAAAAAGUAUACAAACAUUAAUAAAUAAUUAUAUUAAUAUAGGUGUAUUAAAUUAUAGAGAGUAUUUAGAUAUUUUUAAUACGAGUGUAGAUUUUGAUAUUGAAACUCAGGUACCUUCAAAAAAUAGUUCAGUAUUAUGUAUAGUUCAAUUAAUAGAAAAAUUUAAAACGAUUUUUAAUAAAGAUGAUGUAUUAAAUUUGCAAAGAAUUAUUUAUUUAUAUUUUUCAUUAUAUUAUGAUUUUUCUAAUAAAACAAUCUUUAUGUAUUUCGAUGCUUUUUUUCCUCGCAACUCGUUGCUAAAUAUGAAUUUAUCUCAAACUGUAGUAGACUUAUUUGAAAAAUUAAAAAAUAUAAAAAAGGAGAACUGUAUGUUGAAUGUUAAAAAGGGAUGUUAUAACAAUAAAACAAAUAAAUCUGGUUAUGUUGAUAAAAAAAAUGAUUCAUUUAAUAGAGCAUUCUGUUAUGAAGAUCGUGAUGAUAAUGAUGAGGAUACAAUGUAUAACAAUUUGUUUAGUCUUGAAAAUGAGCAAGAAAAAGAGAAAGAAAAAGAAAAAGAAAAAGAGAAAGAGAAAGAAAAAGAGAAAGAGAAGGAGAAAGAGAAAGAGAAAGAAGAAGAAAAAAUAACAGAAGAUGAUAAAAAAAAGAAUAUAAAAAUAAAAAAAGAUGAAUAUAAAAUAUAUAGAUGGACAAUGGAUGAUGUAAGUAAUGAUUUAUUUGGUAUUAAAAAAAAAAAUAAAAAAAAAAGAAAAAAAAAAGAAAAAAAAAGCAAACAUAAAUUACGAAAAAGUACUAAAAUUGUUAAAUAUAUUUGAAAAAGAAAAAAAGAAGAUUAUAGAAGAUGAGCACAUUUCUAACGCUUUAUAUAUUUUUAACGAUGUAAAUAUAAAUAUUUAUAAUUAUAGUUUUUGGUUUACACCUGUAGAAAUAUCAGAUAAAAAUAAUUUAAGAAAAUAUAUAUCAAGACAAAUUCAUAUUGUUUAUAGUGUUUGUAAAUUUUUUAAUUCUGACAUAAAAUUUAUUGAUGCUCAUGUUAACUUAUUACUACAAUUUUUAAAUUUUAAUAGUCCACAACAUCGUUUUACAUAUUUUAAUGAAUUGUAUUUAUUAAGAAGGGUUGUAAAAAAUAAAUUGAUAAGUAGUAGUACCGGAAUAAAUUUUUAUCCUACAUAUUAUUAUGGACAAUCUUCUUCGAAAAAUGUAGAAAACAAAGAAAUAAAUUUAAAUGAUAAUAAAAAAAUGGAACUUGAAUUCCUUGAAAAAAAAUUAUUUGAAGGUAAUGGAGAUAUUUAUGCUUUUAAACUUAUGCAAGAAACAGUAAGACAAUGUUUAAUAAAAAAACAAUUAACUUUAGAAACAAUUUUUAAUAAAGAAUUAAAUUAUAUAUGUACAACUCAAGAUAUACGAAUUUUAUUUGAUUUUUUAAAUAUUUCUGAUCUUAAUUAUAUAAAUGUAUUGCUAGAUAUUUUAGGAAAAAAUAUAUCCUUACAAGAAUUAUGUUUUACAUUAAACCCAAUAGAUAAUAAACAAAAAAAAAUUGAUUAUAAAAAAGAUGUAUGGCCAACGGAUAGUAAUAAUAAUGUUACUAAUGUAAACAAAUAUGAUAUAGAUUUUAUUAAAAGUAUUGAUAGUUGUUUAAAAAAAUUUAAAUUUAAUUUAGUAGAACAUACAAAUUUUAAGUUAGUAUGGGCAGGUAAAAUAUGCAAUCAACGAAUAGUUCAGGAUAUGGAAAAAGACAUGACGACUUCUGGCAAAAUAGGAAAUAUCUCCAAUUAUAGUAACUAUACAAAUAUUAAUACAUAUAAUGAUCAUAAUGCUUAUAAUGUUGGUAAUGGUGGUGGUAGUGCUACUUACGGUACUGUUACUAAUUACAAUCAUAGUAAUAUCGAUCCAAAUGAACAAAAAAAAAUAAAACCUGACGCAACAUAUGGAAUUAAUAAUAAUUUAAUAAAUGACGUUUUUGAUAUAAAUAAUUUUCACACAAAUGAAAAUAAUAAUUUUUAUUCUGAAAAAAAUACAAAUAAUCCAAUAACUUUUUAUGAACCAUUUUAUAUAUAUGAAGUUGAAAAUAUUGAUCCAAAAGAUAGAGGAAUAAUGAGUAAAAAUAAACAAAAAAUUCCAAUAGGUUAUUAUGUAUCUAAUAAAGCAAUCGAUAAUGUAUUUUAUAUAAUAGAAAUGACAGAUACCUCUAUAAAUAGUAUGUAUACAAGUAGUUCUUCACAAGAAAUAUUAACAUUAUUAUUUCCUCACCCAAAAAAAUAUUUAUUAUUAUGGCAUGAAGAUUAUUCUACGAAAAGUGUAGAUGAAUGCUUACAUAUAUGGCAACCACUUCUUUCUUCUAAUAAAGUCACGAGUACAACAUUUUUAGGUUAUGUUGCUACACAAGGUCCUAACAUACCACCACUAAACAAAAUUAGAGCAAUUCCUAAAUCAUUAAUCACAAAUAUCAAUCAAAAAAAUUGCACAACUUUUUACUCGGAUAAUAGUUUUUCUCUUGACAAUUCAGGUGUACUAGGCACUCUGAAUGUUCAUUUUUAUCAAACGUUGAACAUAAAGAAUUAUAAGCAACUACUAUUCAAAAACUUUUAUCUGAAUAUUGUUCAGAAGAUCAAAAAAAUAAAAUCUGUAAAUGAGGAUAUUUUUAAUUUAUGGGAUGAUAAACACAAAGAGGCAAGUGAAGAAGAAGACGAACAAUCAUCCGAAUGGGAAAUUAUACCUCAAAGUUUUUAAAAAAAAGAACAACUAAAUAAAUAAACGAAUAAAUAAACGAAUAAUUAAAUG
Molecule: long non-coding RNA, 2841 nt
Organism: Piliocolobus tephrosceles (Ugandan red Colobus)
Lineage: Eukaryota; Metazoa; Chordata; Mammalia; Primates; Cercopithecidae
Source: Ensembl